This 219-nucleotide long non-coding RNA is filed under the name Elaeis guineensis (African oil palm). RNAcentral describes it as "long non-coding RNA (EGUI_LNC029626)". The record is from RNAcentral. Lineage: Eukaryota; Viridiplantae; Streptophyta; Magnoliopsida; Arecales; Arecaceae.
AUGGAUGAUGCGAUGAAGAAACAUCUUGCACAACUAAAGAAAAAGAUUAUCUAACUCAUCAAGAUCAUCUUCAGAUUAGUGAUACCUUCAGUGCGAGCACAAGUGCUAAUAACUCCACUUGUGAAACUGUCUCUAGUAUUUGGAGAAGAAGAUCCUCCAUCCAGUAAGAAGGAUAAACAAUAUAGAGAUACAAAAAAUCUCUCUUUAGUUAUUUAGAGU